RNAcentral lists this ribosomal RNA (492 nucleotides) under uncultured bacterium. RNAcentral's name for it is "partial 16S ribosomal RNA". It matches the Rfam family "Bacterial small subunit ribosomal RNA", at positions 29 to 507 of the family's 1533-position model. The record is from RNAcentral.
AGUGGACGCUGGCGGUAGGCCUAACACAUGCAAGUCGAACGGCAGCACAGUAAGAGCUUGCUCUUACGGGUGGUGAGUGGCGGACGGGUGAGGAAUACAUCGGAAUCUACUUUUUCGUGGGGGAUAACGUAGGGAAACUUACGCUAAUACCGCAUACGACCUACGGGUGAAAGCAGGGGAUCUUCGGACCUUGCGCGAUUGAAUGAGCCGAUGUCGGAUUAGCUAGUUGGCGGGGUAAAGGCCCACCAAGGCGACGAUCCGUAGCUGGUCUGAGAGGAUGAUCAGCCACACUGGAACUGAGACACGGUCCAGACUCCUACGGGAGGCAGCAGUGGGGAAUAUUGGACAAUGGGCGCAAGCCUGAUCCAGCCAUACCGCGUGGGUGAAGAAGGCCUUCGGGUUGUAAAGCCCUUUUGUUGGGAAAGAAAAGCAGCAGGUUAAUACCCCGCUGUUCUGACGGUACCCAAAGAAUAAGCACCGGCUAACUUCGUG